This 266-nucleotide long non-coding RNA is filed under the name Elaeis guineensis (African oil palm). RNAcentral describes it as "long non-coding RNA (EGUI_LNC023514)". Lineage: Eukaryota; Viridiplantae; Streptophyta; Magnoliopsida; Arecales; Arecaceae. The record is from RNAcentral.
GAAAGCACUCAACCCAAACUCAAGUACAUGAUGUGCUCUCACUCUCAUGGAUCCAAAUCUGGUCCAAACCUGGAUUAGCCCCCCUCAAGACCCAAAUCUCCCGGGCCUCGAGCCCAUGGAGGCUGAACCUCCACCUUAGGACCAAACCGAUCCUAGCCCUAAGACCAAACCAGUCUUAGAAUCUUGGAAACAAGCCCAUGGUUCCUCUCGUGGUCUCCCAAGGCUUGGGAGCACCACACAUGCAUCAAUAGGGAAGACUCUCCUUC